This is a non-coding RNA of Paramuricea clavata, 212 nucleotides long. The record is from the annotation of a GenBank genome assembly. NCBI's taxonomy places the organism in Eukaryota, Metazoa, Cnidaria, Anthozoa, Malacalcyonacea, Plexauridae.
UUCAACUUCCACUGCUGUUACAUUUCCACUUCCAAUGCUGUUAUAUAAUUUACCUGCAAAUCAGCCUGAAAUUACUCAUGAGUAAGUAUUGUGGGGUGUUACAUUCCCGGAUCCCCCUACACACCCCAGUCGCUACGUUACUGUGCAAAACAGCUAGUUCAAUAGAUUUUUAUACCUCUUUUCCACGUUAAAUUAAUUAUUACACGCUCAUG